RNAcentral lists this ribosomal RNA (253 nucleotides) under uncultured bacterium. RNAcentral describes it as "partial 16S ribosomal RNA". It matches the Rfam family "Bacterial small subunit ribosomal RNA", at positions 524 to 776 of the family's 1533-position model. The record is from RNAcentral.
UACAGAGGGUGCGAGCGUUAAUCGGAAUUACUGGGCGUAAAGGGCGCGUAGGUGGAAGAUUAAGUGAGAUGUGAAAGCCCCGGGCUCAACCUGGGAAUUGCAUUCGAUACUGUGUGGCUAGAGUUCGGCAGAGGGAAGUGGAAUUUCCGGUGUAGCGGUGAAAUGCGUAGAUAUCGGAAGGAACAUCAGUGGCGAAAGCGACUUCCUGGACCAGAACUGACGAUCAGGCACGAAAGCGUGGGGAGCAAACAGG